RNAcentral lists this transfer RNA (71 nucleotides) under Biston mediolata. Its description in RNAcentral is "tRNA-Val". Lineage: Eukaryota; Metazoa; Arthropoda; Insecta; Lepidoptera; Geometridae. The record is from RNAcentral.
CAAAUUAGAGCUUGUUUAAAAGUAUUUCAUUUACAUUGAAAAGAUAAUUAAUAAAUAAUUAAUUAAUUUGA